GUGAGGAAUAUUGGUCAAUGGGCGAGAGCCUGAACCAGCCAAGUAGCGUGAAGGAUGACUGCCCUAUGGGUUGUAAACUUCUUUUAUAAAGGAAUAAAGUCGGGUAUGUAUACCCGUUUGCAUGUACUUUAUGAAUAAGGAUCGGCUAACUCCGUGCCAGCAGCCGCGGUAAUACGGAGGAUCCGAGCGUUAUCCGGAUUUAUUGGGUUUAAAGGGAGCGUAGGUGGAUUGUUAAGUCAGUUGUGAAAGUUUGCGGCUCAACCGUAAAAUUGCAGUUGAUACUGGAUAUCUUGAGUGCAGUUGAGGCAGGCGGAAUUCGUGGUGUAGCGGUGAAAUGCUUAGAUAUCACGAAGAACUCCGAUUGCGAAGGCAGCCUGCUAAGCUGCAACUGACAUUGAGGCUCGAAAGUGUGGGUAUCAAACAGGAUUAGAUACCCCUGUAGUCC
RNAcentral lists this ribosomal RNA (445 nucleotides) under uncultured bacterium. RNAcentral's name for it is "partial 16S ribosomal RNA". It matches the Rfam family "Bacterial small subunit ribosomal RNA", at positions 354 to 796 of the family's 1533-position model. The record is from RNAcentral.